This 1329-nucleotide ribosomal RNA is filed under the name Paenarthrobacter sp. RNAcentral describes it as "bacterial SSU rRNA". It matches the Rfam family "Bacterial small subunit ribosomal RNA", at positions 85 to 1425 of the family's 1533-position model. The record is from RNAcentral. Lineage: Bacteria; Bacillati; Actinomycetota; Actinomycetes; Micrococcales; Micrococcaceae.
CUGGGGGAUAGUGGCGAACGGGUGAGUAACACGUGAGUAACCUGCCCUUGACUCUGGGAUAAGCCUGGGAAACUGGGUCUAAUACCGGAUACGACUAUCUGACGCAUGUCAUGGUGGUGGAAAGCUUUUGCGGUUUUGGAUGGACUCGCGGCCUAUCAGCUUGUUGGUGGGGUAAUGGCCUACCAAGGCGACGACGGGUAGCCGGCCUGAGAGGGUGACCGGCCACACUGGGACUGAGACACGGCCCAGACUCCUACGGGAGGCAGCAGUGGGGAAUAUUGCACAAUGGGCGAAAGCCUGAUGCAGCGACGCCGCGUGAGGGAUGACGGCCUUCGGGUUGUAAACCUCUUUCAGUAGGGAAGAAGCGAAAGUGACGGUACCUGCAGAAGAAGCGCCGGCUAACUACGUGCCAGCAGCCGCGGUAAUACGUAGGGCGCAAGCGUUAUCCGGAAUUAUUGGGCGUAAAGAGCUCGUAGGCGGUUUGUCGCGUCUGCUGUGAAAGACCGGGGCUCAACUCCGGUUCUGCAGUGGGUACGGGCAGACUAGAGUGCAGUAGGGGAGACUGGAAUUCCUGGUGUAGCGGUGAAAUGCGCAGAUAUCAGGAGGAACACCGAUGGCGAAGGCAGGUCUCUGGGCUGUAACUGACGCUGAGGAGCGAAAGCAUGGGGAGCGAACAGGAUUAGAUACCCUGGUAGUCCAUGCCGUAAACGUUGGGCACUAGGUGUGGGGGACAUUCCACGUUUUCCGCGCCGUAGCUAACGCAUUAAGUGCCCCGCCUGGGGAGUACGGCCGCAAGGCUAAAACUCAAAGGAAUUGACGGGGGCCCGCACAAGCGGCGGAGCAUGCGGAUUAAUUCGAUGCAACGCGAAGAACCUUACCAAGGCUUGACAUGAACCGGAAAGACCUGGAAACAGGUGCCCCGCUUGCGGUCGGUUUACAGGUGGUGCAUGGUUGUCGUCAGCUCGUGUCGUGAGAUGUUGGGUUAAGUCCCGCAACGAGCGCAACCCUCGUUCUAUGUUGCCAGCGCGUUAUGGCGGGGACUCAUAGGAGACUGCCGGGGUCAACUCGGAGGAAGGUGGGGACGACGUCAAAUCAUCAUGCCCCUUAUGUCUUGGGCUUCACGCAUGCUACAAUGGCCGGUACAAAGGGUUGCGAUACUGUGAGGUGGAGCUAAUCCCAAAAAGCCGGUCUCAGUUCGGAUUGGGGUCUGCAACUCGACCCCAUGAAGUCGGAGUCGCUAGUAAUCGCAGAUCAGCAACGCUGCGGUGAAUACGUUCCCGGGCCUUGUACACACCGCCCGUCAAGUCACGAAAGUUGGUAACACCCGAA